This is a long non-coding RNA of Myotis daubentonii (Daubenton's bat), 745 nucleotides long. RefSeq lists it as uncharacterized. The transcript has 3 exons. The record is from RefSeq and is a predicted model, not a curated record. NCBI's taxonomy places the organism in Eukaryota, Metazoa, Chordata, Mammalia, Chiroptera, Vespertilionidae.
AGCACAAAUGCAGUCUCCUACUACCACAAAUUAUGCAGUCGAGUUUCCUGCAUUUGUGGAAAUCGCAGGGGUUAGCACUCCAGGAUUACAAUGGGGUGAGCCUCCCCCUGGGAAAAAGACCUUGGUGAUCCUGGUAUCUCCCCUACCAGGCUCCUACCACUUCAAUCCCCUGUGCCCUCUGGAACAAAGUCUAGCUCAGAUGUUGGCAGCAGCAACCCACAAACCUUCACAGCACUGGGACCCAGGAGCCUUGGUUUUGAGGACAAAAGAUAGGCCCUAAAUCCAAUGAUCAGUGUCUUUAGAAGAGAAGAAGACACAGGAAGAGAGAAGAAGAUCAUGUGAAGAUGGAGGCGAAGAUUGGAGUGAAGCAGCCACAAGUCAAGGAAAGCCAGGAGUCGCCAGAAGCUGGAGGAAGCAAAGAUUCUCCCCCAGAGCCUUGGUGGGAGCACAGCCCUGCCAGCACCUCCAGACUUCUGGUUUCCAGAAGGGAGAGGGAAUAAAUUUCUGUCGUUCUAAGCCACCCAGUUUGUGGGAAUUUGUUACAGGAGCCAGAGUAAACUAAUACAUCUGGAACAGAAAUGUACUCAAACUAACUUUGCCAACAAGAGAUAGAAAGGGCAUUUUCUGGAAGGACACGAGAGGACUUCAUAGGUUCUAAGGACAGGAAACUCAGGCUGGCCUCAUAAGGGACAAGGACCAGGCCUAGAAAGUUGGGAAUAAGAUGGCCCUCUCCUUUGUGGACACU